Molecule: small nucleolar RNA, 107 nt
Organism: Dioscorea cayenensis subsp. rotundata (Guinea yam)
Lineage: Eukaryota; Viridiplantae; Streptophyta; Magnoliopsida; Dioscoreales; Dioscoreaceae
Source: RefSeq, a predicted model, not a curated record
AGGUUAUGAUGUGGACAUUUUCUCAACAAAUCUUUAAAUCUCUCCCAAGCUUCAAAUAGUGAUUUAGUAUCCAACUGUGAGUAUGUUGUGAUCUCUUGACGCAGCUU